GGUUACAGAUAUCUCAUUGUGCAGUCCAAGACCAGUUACUCACUGAAGCUAAGCAGGGCUGAGCCUGGUCAGUCCCUGGAUGGGAGACCACAUUGGAAAACUAGAUUGCUGUUGGAA
This 117-nucleotide ribosomal RNA is filed under the name Danio rerio (zebrafish). Lineage: Eukaryota; Metazoa; Chordata; Actinopteri; Cypriniformes; Danionidae. The record is from RNAcentral.